UGUGGCGUGAGGAAGUCGGUCUCCGCGGUCGGUUCGUCGGCGCCGAGGUCCUUCUGAUCGAGGCCUCCGCGCGUCCCAGGGCGGGUGUCAGGCCUCUUCGGGCGCCGUCCGGCCGCGGAAUUCGGAUGGCUUCCGGGAGUCGGGUUGUUCUGUAUUGCAGCCCCAAGGCGGGUGGUAAACUCCAUCCAAGGCUAAAUACCGGCACGAGACCGAUAGCGAACAAGUAC
Molecule: ribosomal RNA, 227 nt
Filed under: Echinaster luzonicus
Lineage: Eukaryota; Metazoa; Echinodermata; Asteroidea; Spinulosida; Echinasteridae
Description: partial 28S ribosomal RNA
Rfam family: Eukaryotic large subunit ribosomal RNA
Source: RNAcentral